GACGAACGCUGGCGGCGUGCCUAAUACAUGCAAGUCGAGCGAGCGGAACCAACAGAUUUACUUCGGUAAUGACGUUGGGAAAGCGAGCGGCGGAUGGGUGAGUAACACGUGGGGAACCUGCCCCUAAGUCUGGGAUACCAUUUGGAAACAGGUGCUAAUACCGGAUAAUAAAGCAGAUCGCAUGAUCAGCUUUUGAAAGGCGGCGUAAGCUGUCGCUAAGGGAUGGCCCUGCGGUGCAUUAGCUAGUUGGUAAGGUAACGGCUUACCAAGGCGACGAUGCAUAGCCGAGUUGAGAGACUGAUCGGCCACAUUGGGACUGAGACACGGCCCAAACUCCUACGGGGGGCAGCAGUAGGGAAUCUUCCACAAUGGACGCAAGUCUGAUGGAGCAACGCCGCGUGAGUGAAGAAGGUUUUCGGAUCGUAAAGCUCUGUUGUUGGUGAAGAAGGAUAGAGGUAGUAACUGGCCUUUAUUUGACGGUAAUCAACCAGAAAGUCACGGCUAACUACGUGCCAGCAGCCGCGGUAAUACGUAGGUGGCAAGCGUUGUCCGGAUUUAUUGGGCGUAAAGCGAGCGCAGGCGGAAAAAUAAGUCUAAUGUGAAAGCCCUCGGCUUAACCGAGGAACUGCAUCGGAAACUGUUU
This 643-nucleotide ribosomal RNA is filed under the name uncultured Lactobacillus sp. RNAcentral's name for it is "bacterial SSU rRNA". It matches the Rfam family "Bacterial small subunit ribosomal RNA", at positions 28 to 638 of the family's 1533-position model. The record is from RNAcentral. Lineage: Bacteria; Bacillati; Bacillota; Bacilli; Lactobacillales; Lactobacillaceae.